Molecule: long non-coding RNA, 3375 nt
Filed under: Bemisia tabaci
Lineage: Eukaryota; Metazoa; Arthropoda; Insecta; Hemiptera; Aleyrodidae
Description: lncRNA ENSSWEETPG013152
Source: RNAcentral
GUGCAAAAUGCAAUGUAAAAAUCAAUACAAUCAUUUUAGACUUUACACUGAUUCCUACCUCGGUCAGUUGUAUGUUCAUUAUCUAGAUUUAUGUAAUUUUAUCUUUAACUUUUGUACUAAAUGAGAUGAGGUAUGCAAUUGGCGUAAAAAGUCCUGACAGUGUUUCUCCUUCAAUUUUAGCUUUGCUCUACUCUACCGAUAUUUUUCACAGUAUUGUCUAAUAACUUAUCGCUAUAGUAUUAGCUGUCACUUCUUGUUUUAAUUUACAUCACUUUGUGAAUCUAAACAGUUUCAAAUUAUUAUUUUCAUUUUCAGUGAAGGUGAAAUUAACAAUUUUUAAACUGUUUGAGCUCAAUUUACUUCUCGAAAAAAGGAGGUAUGUUGUAUUAAGUUAAAAUGGUAUAUGAGGACUAUUAUCAAAUCUGCCUCAUACAAAGUGCAUUGGCAACAAUUGAUUUUUUUUCUUUUCAGUUUAUCUGUGAAACAUUUGAGUGCAUCAUAAGUGGUUUCAAACGUAACUAAGGGGCGUGCGCCUCCUGACCGCUUAGCGGUCCAACCUUCUUAUGAUGCGCCUUGCGCCUUAGGCUCUAUGCGUUACGCCUUAUUAUUAUAAUUUUAUAUCAUAGAGUAUGAUUAGCACACUGAAUGAAUAACUCAUGAGGUAUCGAUGCAAAAUAUAUAUUCUAUUUAUUAAUUAAUCAGUCUUGAAUUGAAUAAGUACAAAAGUAUAAAAAAUUAAAGUAGGGUGUUAUUACUAGUUCUUAGCGCACUAUGAUGAGAUUCAGACUUGAUGACUUGGAGGAAUCAUAGUUGGUUACCAUUCUUGUGGUAAAUGACAACGUUCUUGAAGAAAGCGUUGCUGACGUUGUUGUUCCACUCAGCGGUGUUGACGGGGCGGUCGAAGGGGAAUCCAAGAGGGCGGUUGUCGAACACCUUCUUGUUGGAACAAGUCAGAGAAGUUGGAAGCUUCUUGGUCAAUAUUGAAGUUGUUUCCGAUUUGUUGCUGUUCUUGGUCGUGGUUCUGCUCAUGGAUGUUCCUCAUCAGUCGGAGAAUUGCAUUUGUCUCUGCAGGAAAUUCUUGUCAGCUGUAAUAAAAUUCAGAAUACUUCAAUUUUCGAAAGAAUACGCAGAUUUUGGUCAAUAAAAUACAUAAAAUUUACUUGGAUUGAGAAAAACAUAGCUUUCUGACAUAGUAUCUCUUGCACCAUAAUCAUAUGUGAUGUAUACAAGUUUUAGGAAGACGUCCAGACUCUCGAACGAAAUGUUGAUGCUCGAUAGCAUUUAAUCUCAUACUUGCAUUAUAACUGAUGGUCUCAAAAGUCCAGAUUUAUAUGGGUCGAAAAGAGACUAGAAUUUCCUUUUACCAACUUUUUAUAUUAAAUUCUUACGACUUCAAUUCAUCUCGAAAAACGAUUGCACGCACUUUGCUCAGUCUAUGUAAAUUUAAUUAUUCCAACCGAUAAAACUGUGUACAUGAGGAAGGAAAUUGGAUCUUACUCAAUGAAAUUAUUUGAAAGUGUAAGGAAUCCUCCAGAAAAACUAUGAAAAAUAUUUUUUUGAAAAGAAAAUCCUAGACUGCAAUUUCAAAACUGAGAAAGUGCAAGUUAAAAUAAUUUAUUUUGACAUCAAAAAUAAAUUACACCAUUAUUUCAGACAUAUAUUACACAAAUCGCUUAAAAAUUUUAGGAGAUGCAACAAUGAAACGGCAUUCAAAAAUUUAAAAAAAAAGAAACUUAUAUUUCACUGGAGUGAAAUGAUUGAAAAUUUCUACCCACAAAACUUUGAUUUGACGCGAUCGUUUCAAUAAAUAAAACUUGGAGCGAAAUUAAAUAUCUCUGCAUUGAGUCAGUAAAUUGUGUUUGCGAAAAGAAAAGGAAAUUCUCUAGUAUCCAGAGCUUGUACACUCGGUAGACACUUAGAAAAGUUAGCGAUUUUCAAAAUUUAUAAAUUCAAAGUAUAUUUUGCAGAAAUGAAGCUUUUCUCACCUGGGACCAUUCCACCGUUGUUAUCACCACCAUCGGUAGCAUCUCGGCCCAAAUGGUGGGCAGCGAGAGCCACAGAGGUGCACAAGCACAAAGAAAUGAGCCAAGAACGCAUGGUGAACAACUGGAAGUAAAAGAUGCUUUCUCUAGGACUGCACAGAGCUUUUAUACUAAAUCCUCAUGAACUUUAUCAGCCGUUAUCAGCCAGACGGCAAAAAAAUAAAAAAGAGGAAAAAGGCUGUUUACAACUUAUUGCUCUUUAAUUGCAAUACAUUGAUCGAUAUUUAAUUGGUUGCCAAGAUUAGUUAUGCUACUAGAUAGGAUUCAUUCUCCCCCCCCUUCCUCCUGCCGCAGCUAGAUGGCUUUUGGUUUGCAAAAAACACCAACGAUAACGUGAAAGAGGGAGAGUGGGCUCAGUAUUUUGCAGUUUUUUUUGUCUCUUUCGCUCUGAUAAGAUAGCUUAACAUUCUCUGUCUGAUAACUCAAAAAAUUGCAAGCUGUUUCAUUUAGGCUCGGUAAUGUCUUGCGCUCGUUCAGGUCUUGUGUAUCUGCCCCUCUCUAAGUGUUCCUUCUCAUCUCAUACUUAAUUAGUAUCGCUGUUGGUUUUUGGCCGAUCCAGAACUUUCUCCAAGAUGUUUUCAAAAAAAGCUUGGCUUGCAUUUUUAUGGUUGACUUAGAUGCCUUUACCUCUUUCAAUGAGAAAAAAUUGCCGAUGCGUGAGGACUCUACGUAUAGUGCCAUAUAGAGAAAGUUCUAAAGGUUUCCUCCUUUACAGUCUGGCUUAGAUAUCUGUGACAUUUAGUGUAACCACAAUUUGUAUGAUAUGGGUGUAAAAUUUCAUUCGAAAUCGCGUCAAAUCUAGUUGUGUUGAGAAUUUUGUAACGAAUUAUACUACCAUGAAUAAAUAUAUUAAUUUUUUAUGAUCACAAAGAAUGUAUAAUAAAAGUUAUAUUGAAAAAACGAACUUCAAAAGCAAAAUUUUAAAGCGUCUCCAUCCUUCCGUAAUACUCUAGGCUUUACUAAGCAGUUAGGUAGUUUAGUUGUUUAAUCAAAGUGAACCCAACUUAGGACACCAUAACUGAAAUCAAGCUUUCAUUAAAGGGUCUUGAGAUUAAUACAAUUUUGGAUCGAGACACCUUCUUUUCGUGUAUAUGAUUAUUUACGCGUCGUCAAGCUUCAGCUUAGUCAUUCAGUUUAGUUGCUUAGCCUUGCCAACUGGGGGCCCCUAGAAAAAUAUUUUAUUCUCCAUUUCAGAUGGGAUUUCAUGAUGAAGUCCCACUUCUUUACUUGAUACUUGCUCUGGCCAAUCGAAAAGUUCUUCGUUUAAGGUGGGAUUUUAUGUUCAAGCCCUGUUUUUUCACUCAAAACUCUCUAGUCACUUAAAGGUGUCGAU